GUGGGGAAUCUUAGACAAUGGGCGCAAGCCUGAUCUAGCCAUGCCGCGUGAGCGAUGAAGGCCUUAGGGUUGUAAAGCUCUUUCGUGGGGGAAGAUAAUGACUGUACCCCAAGAAGAAGCCCCGGCUAACUCCGUGCCAGCAGCCGCGGUAAUACGGAGGGGGCUAGCGUUGUUCGGAAUUACUGGGCGUAAAGCGCACGUAGGCGGACUGGACAGUCAGGGGUGAAAUCCCGGGGCUCAACCCCGGAACUGCCUUUGAAACUCCCAGUCUUGAGUUCGAGAGAGGUGAGUGGAAUUCCGAGUGUAGAGGUGAAAUUCGUAGAUAUUCGGAGGAACACCAGUGGCGAAGGCGGCUCACUGGCUCGAUACUGACGCUGAGGUGCGAAAGCGUGGGGAGCAAACAGGAUUAGAAACCCUUGUAGUCC
Molecule: ribosomal RNA, 425 nt
Filed under: uncultured bacterium
Lineage: Bacteria
Description: partial 16S ribosomal RNA
Rfam family: Bacterial small subunit ribosomal RNA
Source: RNAcentral